GCAUCUGCUUCCGUAGCAUAGUGGUAUUGCGUUCGCUUCGUAAGCGAAAGGUCGCGAGUUCGAUCCUCGCCGGGAGCUUGUUUUAUUCUCCUUUAUUUGUUUUUAGCCCAAUUGAGUCCAAUUUCCAGACCAAAAUCUAUACGUUUCUGAAAUUUCCAAAAUAUAGCUAGCCUCAUCAAAAGCUUCCGUAGCAUAGUGGUAGUGCGUUCGCUUCGUAAGCGAGAGGUCGCGAGUUCGAUCCUCGCCGGGAGCUUG
Molecule: transfer RNA, 255 nt
Filed under: Helianthus annuus (common sunflower)
Lineage: Eukaryota; Viridiplantae; Streptophyta; Magnoliopsida; Asterales; Asteraceae
Description: sRNA HanXRQr2_Chr14g0653681
Rfam family: tRNA (bases 7-78)
Source: RNAcentral